RNAcentral lists this ribosomal RNA (620 nucleotides) under uncultured bacterium. Its description in RNAcentral is "bacterial SSU rRNA". It matches the Rfam family "Bacterial small subunit ribosomal RNA", at positions 202 to 842 of the family's 1533-position model. The record is from RNAcentral.
AAAAACUCCGGUGGUAUGAGAUGGGCCCGCGUCUGAUUAGCUGGUUGGCGGGGUAACGGCCCACCAAGGCGACGAUCAGUAGCCGACCUGAGAGGGUGACCGGCCACAUUGGGACUGAGACACGGCCCAAACUCCUACGGGAGGCAGCAGUGGGGAAUAUUGCACAAUGGGGGAAACCCUGAUGCAGCGACGCCGCGUGAGCGAUGAAGUAUUUCGGUAUGUAAAGCUCUAUCAGCAGGGAAGAAAAUGACGGUACCUGACUAAGAAGCCCCGGCUAACUACGUGCCAGCAGCCGCGGUAAUACGUAGGGGGCAAGCGUUAUCCGGAUUUACUGGGUGUAAAGGGAGCGUAGACGGCAAUGCAAGCCAGAUGUGAAAGCCCGGGGCUCAACCCCGGGACUGCAUUUGGAACUGUGUAGCUGGAGUGUCGGAGAGGCAGGCGGAAUUCCUAGUGUAGCGGUGAAAUGCGUAGAUAUUAGGAGGAACACCAGUGGCGAAGGCGGCCUGCUGGACGAUGACUGACGUUGAGGCUCGAAAGCGUGGGGAGCAAACAGGAUUAGAUACCCUGGUAGUCCACGCCGUAAACGAUGACUACUAGGUGUCGGGCAGCAAAGCUGUUCG